GAUGAACGCUGGCGGUCUGCUUAACACAUGCAAGUCGAACGGAAUCCUUCGGGAUUUAGUGGCGGACGGGUGAGUAACGCGUGAGAAUCUGCCUUCAGGUUCGGGACAACAGCUGGAAACGGCUGCUAAUACCGGAUGUGCCGAGAGGUGAAAGCUUUAGUGCCUGAAGAUGAGCUCGCGUCUGAUUAGCUAGUAGGAGUGGUAAUGGCACCCCUAGGCGACGAUCAGUAGCUGGUCUGAGAGGAUGAUCAGCCACACUGGGACUGAGACACGGCCCAGACUCCUACGGGAGGCAGCGGUGGGGAAUUUUCCGCAAUGGGCGCAAGCCUGACGGAGCAAGACCGCGUGAGGGAAGAAGGUCUGUGGAUUGUAAGCCUCUUUUGAUGGGGAAGAAGACAGUGACGGCACCCAUCGAAUCAGCCUCGGCUAACUCCGUGCCAGCCGCCGCGGUAA
RNAcentral lists this ribosomal RNA (453 nucleotides) under uncultured bacterium. Its description in RNAcentral is "partial 16S ribosomal RNA". It matches the Rfam family "Bacterial small subunit ribosomal RNA", at positions 28 to 523 of the family's 1533-position model. The record is from RNAcentral.